GACGUAGGAUGCGAGCGUUAUUCGGAUUUAUUGGGCGUAAAGCGUGCGUAGGCGGCUGUUUAAGUCUGGUGUUAAAGCUAGGGGCUCAACCCCUGUGGUGCACUGGAAACUGGGCAGCUUGAGUGCGGUAGGGGAAGGUGGAAUUCCGAGUGUAGCGGUGAAAUGCGUAGAUAUUCGGAGAACACCGGUGGCGAAGGCGACCUUCUGGGCCGCAACUGACGCUGAGGCACGAAAGCCUGGGGAGCGAACGGG
RNAcentral lists this ribosomal RNA (252 nucleotides) under uncultured bacterium. Its description in RNAcentral is "partial 16S ribosomal RNA". It matches the Rfam family "Bacterial small subunit ribosomal RNA", at positions 524 to 776 of the family's 1533-position model. The record is from RNAcentral.